GACGAACGCUGGCGGCGUGCUUAACACAUGCAAGUCGAACGGAAAGGCCCUGCUUUUGUGGGGUGCUCGAGUGGCGAACGGGUGAGUAACACGUGAGUAACCUGCCCUUGACUUUGGGAUAACUUCAGGAAACUGGGGCUAAUACCGGAUAGGAGCUCCUGCUGCAUGGUGGGGGUUGGAAAGUUUCGGCGGUUGGGGAUGGACUCGCGGCUUAUCAGCUUGUUGGUGUGGUAGUGGCUUACCAAGGCUUUGACGGGUAGCCGGCCUGAGAGGGUGACCGGCGACAUUGGGACUGAGAUACGGCCCAGAAUCCUACGGGAGGCAGCAGUGGGGAAUAUUGCACAAUGGGCGGAAGCCUGAUGCAGCAACGCCGCGUGCGGGAUGACGGCCUUCGGGUUGUAAACCGCUUUCGCCUGUGACGAAGCGUGAGUGACGGUAAUGGGUAAAGAAGCACCGGCUAACUACGUG
RNAcentral lists this ribosomal RNA (468 nucleotides) under uncultured bacterium. Its description in RNAcentral is "partial 16S ribosomal RNA". It matches the Rfam family "Bacterial small subunit ribosomal RNA", at positions 28 to 507 of the family's 1533-position model. The record is from RNAcentral.